CGUGUUCAGUCCAACCCCCCGGGACUGAACCUAGGCGACCCCCGUCCCUCCCCCCUGACGGGGGUCGUCCCAU
Regulatory RNA element from Kutzneria sp. 744, 73 nucleotides. It matches the Rfam family "6C RNA". Lineage: Bacteria; Bacillati; Actinomycetota; Actinomycetes; Pseudonocardiales; Pseudonocardiaceae. The record is from Rfam.